RNAcentral lists this ribosomal RNA (321 nucleotides) under Triticum aestivum (bread wheat). Its description in RNAcentral is "partial small subunit ribosomal RNA". The record is from RNAcentral. Lineage: Eukaryota; Viridiplantae; Streptophyta; Magnoliopsida; Poales; Poaceae.
AUGCGGACAAAUGGAAACAACAAGUGCAGUACAAAUUUUUCGGUGAUGUCGUCACAUUCAACACAAUUUCAAGCGAGAGCCAUGGAAGUUGCAAUCAAGACGGAGUUGCCCGAGACUAUCCACAGGUGGUGCAAAUGUCAUGUUCUUAAGAAAGCAAUGGAACACCUGGGUCCGUUAUACACCAGCAAGAGGGAGUUCAGGUCUGAAUUCCACAAAGUAGUGAAUCACAUGCCAAGUGUGGAGGAAUUUGAGACUGCAUGGGGCAUGCUGAUUGGCAAGUACAAUUUUGAAGUCCCACCAUUACAUGACACAACUUUAUGA